GUACUGUGAAGAGUCCGAAACCAGGACGAAACAGCUGUCCAGUAC
This 45-nucleotide non-coding RNA is filed under the name Trichobilharzia regenti. The record is from RNAcentral. Lineage: Eukaryota; Metazoa; Platyhelminthes; Trematoda; Strigeidida; Schistosomatidae.